Molecule: non-coding RNA, 45 nt
Filed under: Trichobilharzia regenti
Lineage: Eukaryota; Metazoa; Platyhelminthes; Trematoda; Strigeidida; Schistosomatidae
Source: RNAcentral
AUCCAGGUGACAAGUCCCAAAUAGGACGAAAUGUGCAUCCUGGAU